AUGGAUGCACUUUUGUUGCAGAGUAGGAAACAAAUAGUGAGUCAGGGAGCUUUAUUUUUUUCCUUUUAUAGCUUUAAAAAAAAAUCACUUUCCUUCUUAAAACCAGGUUCAAGAACUGAUGUGUUAGACUCCCUUACAACACAGACUGCCUCACUCCCAGUGAGAUGGACCACUUACCUGCUCUCUACUACUCUUAUUGUAACUUCUGAAGAAUAUUAUGGAAGAUUUUUAUUUUUGAGCAAAGACAAGCUGACAGAGAUAAUCUUUAAAGAAAUCUAUAUAACAACUUAUUUCCCAAUGAAGGUAUUUUAGAGAAUUAUCAGAAAUUUAAACUGGAGGAUGCACAAGAGCAGAAAUAACAUGAAUUGGGGAACACCAUUAUCUCAUUUAAAAAUAAAUUCUGCUUUAAUGGAGCUUAGUGAUCCA
This 426-nucleotide long non-coding RNA is filed under the name Chrysemys picta bellii (western painted turtle). RNAcentral describes it as "lncRNA (ENSCPBG00000026590.1)". The record is from RNAcentral. Lineage: Eukaryota; Metazoa; Chordata; Testudines; Emydidae.